This 498-nucleotide ribosomal RNA is filed under the name uncultured bacterium. Its description in RNAcentral is "bacterial SSU rRNA". It matches the Rfam family "Bacterial small subunit ribosomal RNA", at positions 43 to 533 of the family's 1533-position model. The record is from RNAcentral.
CAGGCCUAACACAUGCAAGUCGAACGGCAGCACAGAGGAGCUUGCUCCUUGGGUGGCGAGUGGCGGACGGGUGAGGAAUACAUCGGAAUCUACUUUUUCGUGGGGGAUAACGUAGGGAAACUUACGCUAAUACCGCAUACGACCUACGGGUGAAAGCAGGGGAUCUUCGGACCUUGCGCGAUUGAAUGAGCCGAUGUCGGAUUAGCUAGUUGGCGGGGUAAAGGCCCACCAAGGCGACGAUCCGUAGCUGGUCUGAGAGGAUGAUCAGCCACACUGGAACUGAGACACGGUCCAGACUCCUACGGGAGGCAGCAGUGGGGAAUAUUGGACAAUGGGGGCAACCCUGAUCCAGCCAUGCCGCGUGUGUGAAGAAGGCCUUCGGGUUGUAAAGCACUUUUGUUGGGGAAGAAACCGGCCGGGUUAAUACCCUGGUUGAAUGACGGUACCCAAAGAAUAAGCACCGGCUAACUUCGUGCCAGAAGCCGCGGUAAUAAGGGC